RNAcentral lists this ribosomal RNA (477 nucleotides) under Veillonella atypica. Its description in RNAcentral is "bacterial SSU rRNA". It matches the Rfam family "Bacterial small subunit ribosomal RNA", at positions 28 to 474 of the family's 1533-position model. Lineage: Bacteria; Bacillati; Bacillota; Negativicutes; Veillonellales; Veillonellaceae. The record is from RNAcentral.
GACGAACGCUGGCGGCGUGCUUAACACAUGCAAGCCGAACGAAGAGAAAUGGAAGCUUGCUUCUAUGGAUCUUAGUGGCGAACGGGUGAGUAACGCGUAAUCAACCUGCCCUUCAGAGGGGGACAACAGUUGGAAACGACUGCUAAUACCGCAUACGAUCCAAUCUCGGCAUCGAGAGUGGAUGAAAGGUGGCCUCUAUUUAUAAGCUAUCACUGAAGGAGGGGAUUGCGUCUGAUUAGCUAGUUGGAGGGGUAACGGCCCACCAAGGCGAUGAUCAGUAGCCGGUCUGAGAGGAUGAACGGCCACAUUGGGACUGAGACACGGCCCAGACUCCUACGGGAGGCAGCAGUGGGGAAUCUUCCGCAAUGGACGAAAGUCUGACGGAGCAACGCCGCGUGAGUGAUGACGGCCUUCGGGUUGUAAAGCUCUGUUAAUCGGGACGUAUGGUUCUUGUGCAAAUAGUGCGAGGAUUUGACG